This is a small nuclear RNA of Antechinus flavipes (yellow-footed antechinus), 106 nucleotides long. The record is from RefSeq and is a predicted model, not a curated record. NCBI's taxonomy places the organism in Eukaryota, Metazoa, Chordata, Mammalia, Dasyuromorphia, Dasyuridae.
GUGCUUACUUUGGAAGUACAUAUACUAAAAUUAGAAUGAUACAGACAAGGCUAGCAUGGCUUUUGUGUAUGGUGAUAUGCAAAUUCGUGAAGUGUUCCAUGUUUUU